GAUGAACGCUGGCGGCGUGCCUAAUACAUCCAAGUCGAGCGAACAGAUGAGGAGCUUGCUCCUCUGACGUUAGCGGCGGACGGGUGAGUAACACGUGGAUAACCUACCUAUAAGACUGGGAUAACUUCGGGAAACCGGAGCUAAUACCGGAUAAUAUAUUGAACCGCAUGGUUCAAUAGUGAAAGACGGUUUUGCUGUCACUUAUAGAUGGAUCCGCGCCGUAUUAGCUAGUUGGUAAGGUAACGGCUUACCAAGGCAACGAUGCGUAGCCGACCUGAGAGGGUGAUCGGCCACACUGGAACUGAAACACGGUCCAGACUCCUACGGGAGGCAGCAGUAGGGAAUCGUACGCAAUGGGGGAAAGCCUGACGGAACAACGCCGCGUGAGUGAUGAAGGUCUUCGGAUCGUAAAACUCUGUUAUUAGGGAAGAACAAAUGUGUAAGUAACUAUGCACGUCUUGACGGUACCUAAUCAGAAAGCCACGGCUAACUACGUG
This 497-nucleotide ribosomal RNA is filed under the name uncultured bacterium. Its description in RNAcentral is "partial 16S ribosomal RNA". It matches the Rfam family "Bacterial small subunit ribosomal RNA", at positions 28 to 507 of the family's 1533-position model. The record is from RNAcentral.